GACGAACGCUGGCGGCGUGCUUAACACAUGCAAGUCGAACGGAAAGGCCCUGCUUUUGUGGGGUGCUCGAGUGGCGAAAGUGUGAGUAACACGUGAGUAACCUGCCCUUGACUUUGGGAUAACUUCAGGAAACUGGUGCUAAUACCGGAUAGGAGCUCCUGCUGCAUGGUGGGGGUUGGAAAGUUUCGGCGGUUGGGGAUGGACUCGCGGCUUAUCAGCUUGUUGGUGGGGUAGUGGCUUACCAAGGCUUUGACGGGUAGCCGGCCUGAGAGGGUGACCGGCCACAUUGGGACUGAGAUACGGCCCAGACUCCUACGGGAGGCAGCAGUGGGGAAUAUUGCACAAUGGGCGGAAGCCUGAUGCAGCAACGCCGCGUGCGGGAUGACGGCCUUCGGGUUGUAAACCGCUUUCGCCUGUGACGAAGCGUGAGUGACGGUAAUGGGUAAAGAAGCACCGGCUAACUACGUG
This 468-nucleotide ribosomal RNA is filed under the name uncultured bacterium. RNAcentral's name for it is "partial 16S ribosomal RNA". It matches the Rfam family "Bacterial small subunit ribosomal RNA", at positions 28 to 507 of the family's 1533-position model. The record is from RNAcentral.